Molecule: ribosomal RNA, 453 nt
Filed under: uncultured organism
Description: partial 16S ribosomal RNA
Rfam family: Bacterial small subunit ribosomal RNA
Source: RNAcentral
UACACUCCUGCGGGAGGCAGCAGUGGGGAAUAUUGGACAAUGGGCGCAAGCCUGAUCCAGCCAUGCCGCGUGAGUGAUGAAGGCCCUAGGGUUGUAAAGCUCUUUCACCGGUGAAGAUAAUGACGGUAACCGGAGAAGAAGCCCCGGCUAACUUCGUGCCAGCAGCCGCGGUAAUACGAAGGGGGCUAGCGUUGUUCGGAUUUACUGGGCGUAAAGCGCACGUAGGCGGACUAUUAAGUCAGGGGUGAAAUCCCGGGGCUCAACCCCGGAACUGCCUUUGAUACUGGUAGUCUUGAGUUCGAGAGAGGUGAGUGGAAUUCCGAGUGUAGAGGUGAAAUUCGUAGAUAUUCGGAGGAACACCAGUGGCGAAGGCGGCUCACUGGCUCGAUACUGACGCUGAGGUGCGAAAGCGUGGGGAGCAAACAGGAUUAGAUACCCGUGUAGUCCCAUGAU